RNAcentral lists this ribosomal RNA (218 nucleotides) under uncultured bacterium. Its description in RNAcentral is "partial 16S ribosomal RNA". It matches the Rfam family "Bacterial small subunit ribosomal RNA", at positions 30 to 244 of the family's 1533-position model. The record is from RNAcentral.
AUUGAACGCUGGCGGCAGGCCUAACACAUGCAAGUCGAACGGUAGCACAGAGAGCUUGCUCUCGGGUGGCGAGUGGCGGACGGGUGAGUAAUGUCUGGGAAACUGCCUGAUGGAGGGGGAUAACUACUGGAAACGGUAGCUAAUACCGCAUAACGUCGCAAGACCAAAGAGGGGGACCUUCGGGCCUCUUGCCAUCAGAUGUGCCCAGAUAGGAUUAG